Molecule: ribosomal RNA, 426 nt
Filed under: uncultured Lactobacillus sp.
Lineage: Bacteria; Bacillati; Bacillota; Bacilli; Lactobacillales; Lactobacillaceae
Description: bacterial SSU rRNA
Rfam family: Bacterial small subunit ribosomal RNA
Source: RNAcentral
AGGGAAUCUUCCACAAUGGACGAAAGUCUGAUGGAGCAAUGCCGCGUGAGUGAAGAAGGGUUUCGGCUCGUAAAACUCUGUUGUUAAAGAAGAACACCUUUGAGAGUAACUGUUCAAGGGUUGACGGUAUUUAACCAGAAAGCCACGGCUAACUACGUGCCAGCAGCCGCGGUAAUACGUAGGUGGCAAGCGUUGUCCGGAUUUAUUGGGCGUAAAGCGAGCGCAGGCGGUUUUUUAAGGCUGAUGUGAAAGCCUUCGGCUUAACCGGAGAAGUGCAUCGGAAACUGGGAGACUUGAGUGCAGAAGAGGACAGUGGAACUCCAUGUGUAGCGGUGGAAUGCGUAGAUAUUAGGAGGAACACCAGUGGCGAAAGCGGCUUUCUGGACGACAACUGACGCUGAGGCGCGAAAGCCAGGGGAGCAAACG